CAGUAGCCGCGGUAAUACGAAGGGGGCUAGCGUUGCUCGGAAUCACUGGGCGUAAAGGGUGCGUAGGCGGGUCUUUAAGUCAGGGGUGAAAUCCUGGAGCUCAACUCCAGAACUGCCUUUGAUACUGAAGAUCUUGAGUUCGGGAGAGGUGAGUGGAACUGCGAGUGUAGAGGCGAAAUUCGUAGAUAUUCGCAAGAACACCAGUGGCGAAGGCGGCUCACUGGCCCGAUACUGACGCUGAGGCACGAAAGCGUGGGGAGCAAACAGGAUUAGAUACCCCCGUAGUCCCUGUCUCUUAUAC
RNAcentral lists this ribosomal RNA (301 nucleotides) under uncultured bacterium. RNAcentral describes it as "partial 16S ribosomal RNA". It matches the Rfam family "Bacterial small subunit ribosomal RNA", at positions 509 to 807 of the family's 1533-position model. The record is from RNAcentral.